Varroa destructor (honeybee mite) is the source of this 700-nucleotide RNA transcript. RefSeq lists it as uncharacterized. The record is from RefSeq and is a predicted model, not a curated record. Lineage: Eukaryota; Metazoa; Arthropoda; Arachnida; Mesostigmata; Varroidae.
CGUAAAUAUCGAAACCAAAACUAAAGACAUCAAACGGUAUAGAAUGCUAUUUAAAUAGCACUCAGUUGUUGCAGCGUUUGGGAAGCUGAAGCUCGCUGAUAGAUGAGACUUUGCUUAUUGGUGUUUUUGAAGGACUAUGACUCAUGACGAUGCCCAUGAUUUUGUGCGUCAAUUAGCAACACUGACCGUUUGUUUGGAACGUCCGAUGUGCAGCCCUUUUUAAACACAAGCAUGUUCUAUUGCGCCAGAGCCGAGCCGACGAAGGAACACACCGAAUGAUAUUUAGCGAUUCCUAAAUACAAGCUGGGAUGUUCCUAGGAAUAGCGCUGUUCUUCUCAAUGUGCUUUUUAUAUAUUUCAGAAUUACAAACCCAUUGUGCGAGUUAAUGUAGGUCCAAGGCCGACGCGUACGACUGAUAAUAGAACUGGUUGAUAACGAUAUCUGCUUUUCCGGGGCCAUCGGUUAAGAGAUUCUGGGAGUGCGUUAUUCCAGCCGACGAAUCAGGAAGGCUCUCUCUCAGUCGACCCUCGGUCAGGAAUGUCACGCAGCGUUGAAAAACGUACGGUUGAUUUACACUAUGCGAUUAAUAGUUGCGAGAAGUCACCUGUUCAUUCGUUAAAAAAGGUCGUCGUUUGCCACAUGACUGAAAAGAAAGUGACAAUACCAUCAGGGACAUUGAAGCGUCCAUCGUAUAUAUUCG